CGAAACCUGGCGGCGUGCCUAAUACAUGCAAGUCGAGCGGACCAAGGGAGCUUGCUCCUAGAGGUUAGCGGCGAACGGGUGAGUAACACGUGGGCAACCUGCCUGUAAGACUGGGAUAACAUCGAGAAAUCGGUGCUAAUACCGGAUAAUAAAAAGAACUGCAUGGUUCUUUUUUGAAAGAUGGUUUCGGCUAUCACUUACAGAUGGGCCCGCGGCGCAUUAGCUAGUUGGUGAGGUAACGGCUCACCAAGGCGACGAUGCGUAGCCGACCUGAGAGGGUGAUCGGCCACACUGGGACUGAGACACGGCCCAGACUCCUACGGGAGGCAGCAGUAGGGAAUCUUCCGCAAUGGACGAAAGUCUGACGGAGCAACGCCGCGUGAGUGAUGAAGGUUUUCGGAUCGUAAAACUCGGUUGUUAGGGAAGAACAAGUGCCGUUCGAAAGGGCGGCACCUUGACGGUACCUAACGAGAAAGCCACGGCUAACUACGUGCCAGCAGCCGCGGUAAUACGUAGGUGGCAAGCGUUGUCCGGAAUUAUUGGGCGUAAAGCGCGCGCAGGCGGUCUCUUAAGUCUGAUGUGAAAGCCCCCGGCUCAACCGGGGAGGGUCAUUGGAAACUGGGAGACUUGAGUACAGAAGAGGAGAGUGGAAUUCCACGUGUAGCGGUGAAAUGCGUAGAGAUGUGGAGGAACACCCAGUGGCGAAGGCGACUCUCUGGUCUGUAACUGACGCUGAGGCGCGAAAGCGUGGGGAGCAAACAGGAUUAGAUUACCCUGGUAGUCCACCGCCCGUAAACGAUGAGUGCUAGGUGUUAGGGGUUUCGAUGCCCUUAGUGCCGAAGUUAACACAUUAAGCACUCCGCCUGGGGAGUACGACCGCAAGGUUGAAACUCAAAGGAAUUGACGGGGGCCCGCACAAGCAGUGGAGCAUGUGGUUUAAUUCGAAGCAACGCGAAGAACCUUACCAGGUCUUGACAUCCUUUGACCACCCUAGAGAUAGGGCUUUCCCCUUCGGGGGACAAAGUGACAGGUGGUGCAUGGUUGUCGUCAGCUCGUGUCGUGAGAUGUUGGGUUAAGUCCCGCAACGAGCGCAACCCUUGACCUUAGUUGCCAGCAUUCAGUUGGGCACUCUAAGGUGACUGCCGGUGACAAACCGGAGGAAGGUGGGGAUGACGUCAAAUCAUCAUGCCCCUUAUGACCUGGGCUACACACGUGCUACAAUGGAUGGUACAAAGGGUUGCGAAGCCGCGAGGUGAAGCCAAUCCCAGAAAGCCAUUCUCAGU
RNAcentral lists this ribosomal RNA (1283 nucleotides) under Halalkalibacterium halodurans. RNAcentral's name for it is "bacterial SSU rRNA". It matches the Rfam family "Bacterial small subunit ribosomal RNA", at positions 30 to 1292 of the family's 1533-position model. The record is from RNAcentral. Lineage: Bacteria; Bacillati; Bacillota; Bacilli; Caryophanales; Bacillaceae.